Non-coding RNA from Schistosoma curassoni, 45 nucleotides. The record is from Rfam. Lineage: Eukaryota; Metazoa; Platyhelminthes; Trematoda; Strigeidida; Schistosomatidae.
AUCCAACUGACGAGUCCUAAAAAGGACGAAAGGCGCAUCCUGGAU